This 301-nucleotide ribosomal RNA is filed under the name Conticribra weissflogii. RNAcentral's name for it is "partial Bacterial large subunit ribosomal RNA". It matches the Rfam family "Bacterial large subunit ribosomal RNA", at positions 31 to 306 of the family's 2925-position model. Lineage: Eukaryota; Bacillariophyta; Thalassiosirophyceae; Thalassiosirales; Thalassiosiraceae. The record is from RNAcentral.
GCCUUGGCAUCAGGAGCCGAUGAAGGACGUGGGAAUCUGCGAUAAGCCUGGUGGAGUCGAUAACCUGACGUUGAGACCAGGAUUUCCGAAUGGGGAAACCCCGCCAGGCAUUUUGACCUGGUGACUCCCGCCUGAAUAUAUAGGGCGGGUAGAGGGAACGUGGGGAAGUGAAACAUCUCAGUACCCACAGGAAGAGAAAACAACAGUGAUUCCGUGAGUAGUGGCGAGCGAAAGCGGAUGGGGCUAAACCGUUUCCAUGUGUGAUAGCCGGCGGGCGUUGCAUGGUGCGGGGUUGUGGGAC